AAGACUAUAUCUCAAAGUAUCUGUGGCACUUGUAUUUGUUUGUUCUGUUUCUUUAGUUUGUGUCUUGAGAAAUGUGUUUCCACGGGGUUCGGUCUCGCUAACCACAGUGAUGAGUCGUGAUUUUCUCUUCUGAGCGUGAAGCGGACACAGAAUAACGAUUCAGUUCAUAUGAUCUCUGUCACUGAUGAUCGUUAAUUGCCUCCUUUGUGGAGCUUUGAGGAAGAGAAUAAGAUCAGAGCGGG
Molecule: small nucleolar RNA, 242 nt
Filed under: Labrus bergylta (ballan wrasse)
Lineage: Eukaryota; Metazoa; Chordata; Actinopteri; Labriformes; Labridae
Description: Small nucleolar RNA U3 (ENSLBEG00000021314.1)
Rfam family: Small nucleolar RNA U3
About the family: Small nucleolar RNAs (snoRNAs) are involved in the processing and modification of rRNA in the nucleolus.
Source: Rfam by way of RNAcentral